GACGAACGCUGGCGGCGUGCUUAACACAUGCAAGUCGAACGGAGUUUCUUGGAUCAAGACUUCGGUCAAGUGAAUUGAAACUUAGUGGCGGACUGGUGAGUAACGCGUGAGGAACCUGCCUUUCAGAGGGGGACAACAGUUGGAAACGACUGCUAAUACCGCAUAAGACCACAGUAUGGCAUCAUACAGGGGUAAAAGAGUUAUGUAUCGGAUAUAGAUGGCCUCGCGUCCUAUUAGUUAGUUGGUGGGGUAACGGCCUACCAAGACCGCGAUAGGUAGCCGACCUGAGAGGGUGAUCGGCCACACUGGAACUGAGAUACGGACCAGACUCCUACGGGAGGCAGCAGUGGGGAAUAUUGGGCAAUGGAGGCAACUCUGACCCAGCAACGCCGCGUGAAGGAAGAAAGGCCUCGGGUUGUAAACGUUUAGUUGUUAGAUGACGAAGAAAGUAGACGGU
This 457-nucleotide ribosomal RNA is filed under the name uncultured bacterium. Its description in RNAcentral is "bacterial SSU rRNA". It matches the Rfam family "Bacterial small subunit ribosomal RNA", at positions 28 to 476 of the family's 1533-position model. The record is from RNAcentral.